GCUAAGGCUGAGCGAGGGCGGAGGCGGGCGUUGCCUAUUGGCCGGGAGCACCCCCAGAACACUCCCCGCAGACCGGGCCCUGAGGCUAGUGCCGGCAGAAGUCACUCCAAGUGCAGAACCGCCUGUUCCAACUCCGACCCAGAGAGAUGUGCCUGUCAUACUGGAGCAAGGGAAAGGCAUGGCAGUUGGAGCAGCAGCUGGGAACUGACAUCUUGAAUUGCAGUAUGUAUGCUGUAGAGGGUCAAGUGCAAGAAGUGGCCCAAGGUCUUUGGAAGAGCCCAGAACAUGAUCGAGUAAUGUGGCAACUUCCUGUUGAAGACUUGCCUUGGCAGUGUCCGUGUGUAGACAUGUCUGGUGUCUGUAUUGUCUGCAUAGUCAAUAGGUUAUCGAGUGCAUAUUUCUGAAAUCCCUGGAAAUCUCUAGUCUAUCAAUCUCACCCUGUUAAUUGAUACUCAGGCUCAUAUGUCUGUGUAGGAAUAAAUAAAGGUCUGACUACUUUGAACUUAA
This is a long non-coding RNA of Arvicola amphibius (Eurasian water vole), 507 nucleotides long. RefSeq lists it as uncharacterized. NCBI's taxonomy places the organism in Eukaryota, Metazoa, Chordata, Mammalia, Rodentia, Cricetidae. The record is from RefSeq and is a predicted model, not a curated record. The transcript has 3 exons.